Dromaius novaehollandiae (emu) is the source of this 841-nucleotide long non-coding RNA. RefSeq lists it as uncharacterized. The transcript has 2 exons. Lineage: Eukaryota; Metazoa; Chordata; Aves; Casuariiformes; Dromaiidae. The record is from RefSeq and is a predicted model, not a curated record.
GAAAUAGAUUGUGACAAUCCUCCUUAAGGAAUCCCUGGACAUUGGGAACAGACAGCUGUACCCAGCCCUGAUAGUCAUGCAUCUCAUACCAAAUUAGUCCCUCAACAUUGCCCCUUAUUUCCUAGCAGGCUCCCUCACUAAGACAGAGCAGCAUUGGCUGUGCUACCCUCCACAUGGCAACUGCCGCAGCAAGCCUCAUGCCCCCUGGGGCACACCAUGGCUUCCCCCAAGUCCCCCUUGCUGCAGCUGCCAGCCAUAGGACAAAUACUUCAAGGGACAACAUGAGAUAGUUUUUUUCCCUCAUAGUGGCCUAUACUGCUGUGGAAAAGCAUGCAGCACAUUUGCAGCUGAGUAUGAUCUGGAAUAGUAAAGUUAUUAACAACCUUUUGUUUUUGCCUUGGAUGCCCCUCUAAUGCCUGUCUGCACCCAACCUCACUUACCUGGAUGUUGCUGCUGAUGUGACCUGCUCGCUGCCCUCAGACCCUCUGCAUUGGGGAAACCCCAUCCAGCUGCCCUGCGGAGCCAGGCAGGCUGCCUUAUCUGCAAUGGGAAUGCACUGGCUGGCCAAGUGUUGACCCUCUCAGUGAAAAGAGGUCUCCAUACCAGCCCAUGGAACAUCCUCUGCAAGGGAGUCCUAAGGGCCACUACUCUCUCAGCAUCAAAAACAAGCUGCUUUCUCCUCCCACAUAAGAAUUUCACCCUUUGGGGAUGCCUGUACCAGGUCGGACCAGAUAACCUUCCAGCCCUGUAUCCCUCAGCCACAGAAAAUAGCUGUUAUCUCAGAAAACAUUAAAAACCUCAAAGGGGCAUGCAUUUGAUGAUGCAUCCUUUGUAUAUCUCA